CCUACGGGAGGCAGCAGUGAGGAAUAUUGGUCAAUGGACGAGAGUCUGAACCAGCCAAGUCGCGUGAAGGAUGACUGCCCUAUGGGUUGUAAACUUCUUUUAUAUGGGAAUAAAAUGUUCCACGUGUGGGAUUUUGUAUGUACCAUAUGAAUAAAGAUCGGCUAACUCCGUGCCAGCAGCCGCGGUAAUACGGAGGAUGCGAGCGUUAUCCGGAUUUAUUGGGUUUAAAGGGAGCGUAGGUGGAUUGUUAAGUCAGUUGUGAAAGUUUGCGGCUCAACCGUAAAAUUGCAGUUGAAACUGGCAGUCUAGAGUACAGUAGAGGUGGGCGGAAUUCGUGGUGUAGCGGUGAAAUGCUUAGAUAUCACGAAGAACUCCGAUUGCGAAGGCAGCUCACUGGACUGCAACUGACACUGAGGCUCGAAAGUGUGGGUAUCAAACAGGAUUAGAUACCCCAGUAGUC
RNAcentral lists this ribosomal RNA (460 nucleotides) under uncultured bacterium. RNAcentral's name for it is "partial 16S ribosomal RNA". It matches the Rfam family "Bacterial small subunit ribosomal RNA", at positions 338 to 795 of the family's 1533-position model. The record is from RNAcentral.